RNAcentral lists this ribosomal RNA (493 nucleotides) under uncultured bacterium. RNAcentral describes it as "bacterial SSU rRNA". It matches the Rfam family "Bacterial small subunit ribosomal RNA", at positions 903 to 1397 of the family's 1533-position model. The record is from RNAcentral.
AAAUGAAUUGACGGGGGCCCGCACAAGCGGCGGAGCAUGCGGAUUAAUUCGAUGCAACGCGAAGAACCUUACCAAGGCUUGACAUAUACGGUCUAUCCCUAGAGAUAGGGAGUGCUUCGGCGCCGUAUACAGGUGGUGCAUGGUUGUCGUCAGCUCGUGUCGUGAGAUGUUGGGUUAAGUCCCGCAACGAGCGCAACCCUCGUCCUAUGUUGCCAGCGGGUAAUGCCGGGGACUCAUAGGAGACUGCCGGGGUCAACUCGGAGGAAGGUGGGGAUGACGUCAAAUCAUCAUGCCCCUUAUGUCUUGGGCUUCACGCAUGCUACAAUGGCCGGUACAGAGGGCUGCGAUACCGUAAGGUGGAGCGAAUCCCAAAAAGCCGGUCUCAGUUCGGAUUGAGGUCUGCAACUCGACCUCAUGAAGUCGGAGUCGCUAGUAAUCGCAGAUCAGCAACGCUGCGGUGAAUACGUUCCCGGGCCUUGUACACACCGCCCGU